This is a non-coding RNA of Cyanistes caeruleus (blue tit), 254 nucleotides long. NCBI's taxonomy places the organism in Eukaryota, Metazoa, Chordata, Aves, Passeriformes, Paridae. The record is from RefSeq and is a predicted model, not a curated record.
UUUUUGUUUUGCAGGAUUUGGGAAUCGAGAUUCCCAUGGAAUUCCCGAAAUUUUUGGAUUUCCCCUGAGUUUCUCCAGGUUUUCCGUAGGAUUCCCACCAUGAGCGGCCUCGGCGACGGCUCCGCGGAUCCGGCCCUUCCCGAAUCCCGCAAGCGCAAAGGAUCCCCCUGCGACCCCGGCCAGAGCACGGAGAAGCGGCGGCGCGAGCAGGAGCAGCAGGAGCUGGUGGGGAAAUAGCAGCAAAAAUUGGGACA